UGAGGAAUAUUGGGCAAUGCCCGAAAGGGUGACCCAGCAACGCCGCGUGAAGGAUGGAGGCCGUAAGGUUGUAAACUUCUUUUGUAUGGGACGAAAAAGCUUGUUGAUAGCAAGCAUUGACGGUACCUUAAGAAAAAGCCCCGGCUAACUACGUGCCAGCAGCCGCGGUAAUACGUAGGGGGCAAGCGUUGUCCGGAUUUACUGGGUGUAAAGGGCGCGUAGGCGGGUUUGUAAGUCAGCGGUGAAAUCCUAUAGCUUAACUAUAGAACUGCCGUUGAUACUGCAAGUCUUGAGUUUGGAAGAGAGUAGCGGAAUUCCAGGUGUAGUAGUGAAAUACGUAGAUAUCUGGAAGAACACCAGUGGCGAAGGCGGCUACUUGGUCCAUAACUGACGCUGAGGCGCGAAAGCGUGGGGAGCAAACA
RNAcentral lists this ribosomal RNA (422 nucleotides) under uncultured prokaryote. RNAcentral's name for it is "bacterial SSU rRNA". It matches the Rfam family "Bacterial small subunit ribosomal RNA", at positions 355 to 774 of the family's 1533-position model. The record is from RNAcentral.